GGGCGCGUAGCUCAGCUGGUUAGAGCGCCACACUCACAUUGUGGAGGUCAGGGGUUCGAAUCCCUUCGCGCCCA
Molecule: transfer RNA, 74 nt
Filed under: Pseudomonadota bacterium
Lineage: Bacteria; Pseudomonadati; Pseudomonadota
Also listed under: 5 other names
Description: tRNA-Val
Rfam family: tRNA
About the family: Transfer RNA (tRNA) molecules are approximately 80 nucleotides in length. Their secondary structure includes four short double-helical elements and three loops (D, anti-codon, and T loops).
Source: RNAcentral